CCUACGGGAGGCUGCAGUGAGGAAUAUUGGUCAAUGGGCGCGAGCCUGAACCAGCCAAGUAGCGUGAAGGAUGACUGCCCUACGGGUUGUAAACUUCUUUUAUAAAGGAAUAAAGUGAGGCACGUGUGCCUUUUUGUAUGUACUUUAUGAAUAAGGAUAGGCUAACGCCGUGCCAGCAGCCGCGGUAAUACGGAGGAUCCGAGCGUUAUCCGGAAUGAUUGGGGUGAAAGGGAGCGUAGAUGGGUUGUUAAGUCAGUUGUGAAAGUUUGCGGCUCAAACGUAAAAUUGCAAUUGAUACUGGGAGUCUAGAGUACAGUAGAGGUAGGCGGAAUUCGAGGUGGAGCGGUGAAAUGCAUAGAUAUCACGAAGAACACCGAUGGCGAAGGCAGCUUACUAGACUGCAACUGACGUUGAGGCACGAAAGUGUGGGUAGCAAACAGGAUUAGAUACCCGAGUAGUC
RNAcentral lists this ribosomal RNA (460 nucleotides) under uncultured bacterium. RNAcentral's name for it is "partial 16S ribosomal RNA". It matches the Rfam family "Bacterial small subunit ribosomal RNA", at positions 338 to 795 of the family's 1533-position model. The record is from RNAcentral.